UACAGAGGCCCCAAGCGUUACUGAGAAUCACUGGGUUUAAAGAGUGCGUAGGUGGCGCGUUAAGUCCGUUGUGAAAUCCCUGGGCUCAACCCAGGAAAUGCUUCGGAUACUGGCGUGCUUGAGGCUAGUAGGGGUCACUGGAACUGACGGUGGAGCGGUGAAAUGCGUAGAUAUCGUCAGGAACGCCAAUGGUGAAGACAGGUGACUGGGCUAGAUCUGACACUGAGGCACGAAAGCGUGGGGAGCGAACGGG
This 253-nucleotide ribosomal RNA is filed under the name uncultured bacterium. RNAcentral's name for it is "partial 16S ribosomal RNA". It matches the Rfam family "Bacterial small subunit ribosomal RNA", at positions 524 to 776 of the family's 1533-position model. The record is from RNAcentral.